Long non-coding RNA from Hylaeus anthracinus, 750 nucleotides. RefSeq lists it as uncharacterized. The transcript is spliced from 3 exons. The record is from RefSeq and is a predicted model, not a curated record. NCBI's taxonomy places the organism in Eukaryota, Metazoa, Arthropoda, Insecta, Hymenoptera, Colletidae.
GCCACGAAGCGACUUUUAAAAGCGACAGCAGUGUCAACCGUCACAGCAUGCAUUAUUGAGCUGAAAAUAAACCAGACACACUGGGCGAGGCAAGUAGAUCACGAAGAGGUAUGGAACCUCGAUAUUUGUGGCAGCGAGGAAUCGAAAAGCGAAUACGUGCAUCGCGCUCCCUUUGAUCUCGCCUCUUUGCUGGAAAUAACGCGCGUUAUCCGAGUCUAAGAGGGACUUCUUUGAAUGUACAAUGUCAUUGUUACCAAUGACAGCGUCUUCGAAUAAUCUCGUGCUGCGUGAAUGUCUAAAUAUUGGAGUCAAAGGUGGACAAAAUUCUUAUCUGGACACGGUGAUCCAUUAUAGUGUAGUACCCGCAAUUCUCUAGAGGGAAAAAUCAGACAUUAAGGAGAACCGACAGUAAAUCAACAAAUUUUUAGUGGCUACAAGGGCCAGGCUGUAAAUGGAUUGCCUUUUGCUGGGAAAAUCUUAUUAACGGAUAACCGAGGGCGUAAUGGAGGUCAGAGACAAAGGUAUCGCGAUGAGUAUUAAUCAACCAUUCAUUCUUCUUACAAUAGAGAACAGCUUUAAUCUGAAAUAUCAACAUACUUUAAAUAGUUUUUGUGCUUUAUAUUAAUAGUGCUGAAAUUCGAAAUUUACUUUUUACAGAUAGAUGUUUAAUCUGAGAGAUAGUGUAUAAAGUAAGGACUAAUGUUAAAGAAUUAGUUUCAUGUAAAAUGAGAAAGUGCUUUAGAGUGUGAA